This 476-nucleotide ribosomal RNA is filed under the name uncultured soil bacterium. Its description in RNAcentral is "bacterial SSU rRNA". It matches the Rfam family "Bacterial small subunit ribosomal RNA", at positions 26 to 518 of the family's 1533-position model. The record is from RNAcentral.
AGAAUCAACGCUGGCGGCGUGCCUCAGACAUGCAAGUCGAACGAUUAAAGCUCCCUUCGGGGAGUGCAUAAAGUGGCGCACGGGUGAGUAACACGUAAGUAAUCUACCCUCGGGUGGGGAAUAACGUUCGGAAACGGACGCUAAUACCGCAUAAUGCAGCGGCACCGCAAGGUGACAGUUGUUAAAGAUUUAUUGCCUGGGGAGGAGCUUGCGGCAGAUUAGCUUGUUGGUAAGGUAACGGCUUACCAAGGCUACGAUCUGUAUCCGGUCUAAGAGGACGGUCGGACACACUGACACUGAAUAACGGGUCAGACUCCUACGGGAGGCAGCAGUCGGGAAUUUGGGCAAUGGGGGAAACCCUGACCCAGCAACGCCGCGUGAAGGAUGAAGUAUUCGGUAUGUAAACUUCGAAAGAAUAGGAAGAAUUAAUGACGGUACUAUUUAUAAGGUCCGGCUAACUACGUGCCAGCAGCCGC